GCGACCCCCGGAUGGGCGAGGCCACCCGCUGAGUUUAAGCAUUC
This 44-nucleotide ribosomal RNA is filed under the name Trichocentrum cosymbephorum. RNAcentral describes it as "partial 26S ribosomal RNA". The record is from RNAcentral. Lineage: Eukaryota; Viridiplantae; Streptophyta; Magnoliopsida; Asparagales; Orchidaceae.